GUUCUGGUCUAGUCUAGUCUGCUGAGGUCCGCAGUGUGUCAGGGAGCUGCGGCCCCCAGCUGGCGUGGCUCGCGCCCGGCAGGGGGGCGCUGUCCUGGUUUGCCUCUGGACUCUUUGUGUUCGAAACACUUGUUGCUUGAAAAAAGAAGCUACUUCUUUUUCCUAGCCAAAAACAAAGCUGGAAUCAUUGUUACCAGGCCACUUGGAACAUUCUGCCAGAGAGUAUAAUAUUCAAAUACAUGUGGAUUUUGGAGAAGCUUGGAUCUACAACUGCAGCGGCUAAAUUACUGUUGCAAUUCACUCCAAUUUUAUGGGUCAAAACAAGAUGGUAUCUAAGAGGGCGAGCAUAUUCUGGAAACCAGGUGAGCCGGCUAUGUCUGCUGAUCUUGGAGAAGUGGCCUUAUGUAUAAGAUGCCUUAUGAGGCCCAGCAGUGUGCUUCCCUCUCGUCACCAGUCCAAUGAUCCAGGAGUGACCCCUUUGUGGGUUACUUGUGUCCUUCUGCUGUGGCAGGGUUGCUCCCACUGCAGGUACCCAGGGAGUCUAAUCUUUCCUUCCCUGGCCAGCUGUUUGUAAAUCCGGUUUGGGGAGCCUCAGCACCAUUGGCUACAAAGUCUAUCAGCACACUCCUGUUGCAGUUUUCCUCUUAAUUGGGUUGGUACCCAGAGUAGCUGGUUGCUAGGCUCAGGGGUUUACAGUUGCCAUAGGCCUCAGACGUACAAGGCUAUUGUCAGUUCUCUUAGGAGUGCAGCUGAGUGGGGCUGGCCCUAGGCAUGGGGGCACUCAAUUGUUUCAGGCUUUGGAAGGUGGGGCUGAUCCUUUUUAUGGCUAUUUGUGAAGCACAGGUCUUCUGCUGCUGAUAAGCCUCACCCCCCCACAGGACCACACACACUGUCAACACAGUCCUGGUCCUUGCACACUUCCCAAUCCCCUGGAGCAUACCCUGACACCCAACUGCAGAGACCCCCUCCUUUCCCCCAGUGCCCCCCACAGUUCACCUGGUCCUCACACAGGCCCUGCCCCACAGAGGCGGACACCCUUGCCUGCCUGUAGAGGAUCAAGACACCCAGUAAAUGCAGGCCGAAAACUAGCCUGAGGGCUUGCUGUUGGGUGGGGCCAGUCUCUAGGGCAGGCUGCCUGCCCUGGCUGAACUGGAUUAAAUCUGUGCUCUAGUGGGUGUGACAGACCCCUGGGCUAACAGGCCAAGGGAAGAACCUCAGUGGCGCCCCCUGGGGUCUGUGUCAGCAUGCCUGGACCAGCUCAGAACAAUGGCCCCCACCAAUGUCUCAGUCUCUGGAGAGGUCCCUCCUCUCACCAAGAUGGCCCCAGAGACCACCUGGUGAGUCUCGUUUCACCAAAGGACUGUCAGCCUUCACUCUGGUGAUUUUAGGUUGCUGCAAUGAGUGAGUUUGUGCGUGGGCCCUUUAAGACCCAGGUCUUUUCGGCUUUCAGCCGAUAGCUUUUCUGGGGGUGUCCUCGCUGCAGUUAAUAGCCAGCAAAGCCAGACAGUAAGACCCCCGUCUCAGUUGGGCUGCGUCUGCAGGAUGCUUAGAGAACUAUCGGGCCCACUCCGGACCUCCCUCCUCCAAGGAGGGCUGCGGACCUUAGGGUGUCUCCCGCGUGGCCAGCUGAGAAGCUCUGCUGCUCCCAAAGGUGGCUUUUUUCCUCUCCAGCAGGAAUUUCUACCUCUUCUGCCUUCGUCAGGACUGUCCCUUGUUGUGGGGGUUCUUUUUGUCCAGUUUUCAGUUUUCUAUCUGGGGUAAUUGUUCCAAAAAUAGUUGUAACCUGGUUGUGUUCAUGGGAGGAGGUGAGUUCAGAGUCUGCUCACACCGCCACCUUGACGAGAUCUCCUGUCCUCACAAUAACCUUAUAAAGUGAGUAUUAUUAUUUGAACCUCAUUUUAUAGAGGAAGAAACUGAGACUUAGAGAAAUUAGGUUAAUUUACUGAAUGUCACACAUUUGGUAAGUGGCAGAAAUAGAGUUUGAACAUGGAAUUUGGGGCGAACGCAAUAAUGCCCCAAAAAGCCGCUCCUCUUGCGAAGGGCACUGAAGCCCUGCGGUGCUAACGCAGAGCCCAGCACAGGCAGAGUGGGUCUGCGCAGAGCACAGGGAAGACGACCUCCCAGGGUGGGUGCCAGAUGGAUGAGAUCUCGACGUGACAGGUAAAACUCAAAGGCUAAUGGAAGAAAAUUGCAUUUAUUUUAUGACCAAGUAUUAGAUUAAAACCUCUUGGGACACAAACCAGUGGAACUCUGUAACUGCAAACCUUUCUCAGGUAAGUAAUUGUCAACAGGCCUUUCAGGAGGAACUCUUGAAAUGUUUUUAAAAUUAAUAACAGAUUGACAAAGUUGUAGAAAGACAACUGGUGAAAAUUUAACCUUCCUAAAAUCUAAGUUUUCAAUGGCUAUGAAUCAAGAGAAUGAAAAAUUUUGAACUUAGUUAUAAGGAAUGUAAAGAAAUGACCAUUCCAGCAGACUGAUGAGAAUCAUAAAAGAGAGGCUCAGCAGACGAGGUGAUAGCAGGCCUGAAGUAGAGAAGAGAAACCCAAAACUUCCUUUAGCCGCACGGCUAGUGGCUCCAGGGAUGCCUAGUGAAAUAACGUUGGAAGUUAUUACAAAUACCGCAGCACACAGCGCUCAUAGUUUGCAGCAAAGAACUGUGCCCAAGCUAAUUUAGAGGAGUGUGUUUACAGUUCUUAUUCCAGAUGGCCUUCAUUAAGUUAUUCUCGAUGACUCCUUUUGUGAUCGUUAUUAAGCGUUGAGUUAAUGAGCUUCUCUGGUUUUAAUGUCUAUAUCCAAUUGAUCUCAGUUGGUGUAUUAACCAUGCCUUUUAUUUUCUGAUGCUUUGACAUCUUGGGACCUUGCUGCCCCUGGAGGGAGGGACUACCUGGAUAGCAAACGACUCGCCUGUGAGUGCCUUUCAUCUGCAAGCCAGCCAUAGAGAGCCCAAAGUCCUCAAGCACCCCCUCUGUGGACUCUCACGUUCUGGGCCCCCACACACCCAUGCGCAUCACCACGGGGCCAGGUACCAGACGACAAGCCUCCUGACCAAACCUGGUGCUUUCUUUGUGGCCCCUCGUGGUGUAGUCUGCCCCUUCCUCCUGAGAUCUAUAUUUUAGGAGACGAGGAGCCCCAAGCUGGAUUGGAAGGCGCCUCUGGUCCUCCUCCUCUCUGCGUCACAGAACCAGAGCUCUCUCUUCCCUUCCAGACCCCACUGCCCCCCCCGCCCCAAGAGUCAAGGGGUCUGGAGAGCGGUCUACUCACUUCUCUGUGAGCCAGGAGAAAGCUGGAGAAGGAGCAAAGCCCUUCACCAAGAAAUGGGACGGUUACAAGGCAUCACAGUGGGGAUGAGCUGUCACCAGUUCUACAGGGAACAGCAGUGUCUCGGGUCCUCAUCCGCCAUAUUGGGUUCAGGCCCCAGAUGGGAUGUGUUGGUAAAAGGAAUACAGCAGGCCUCACCCAGUGCGGAAGCUACUCUCUUGGAUCAUCCCAACAUCCUGGACAAGCCUUGGCCUUCCCCUGAAGUCCAGAGGAGCAUGAGUGUUUGCAUAAAGCUGGGCUCGGUACCUUCUCUCAGAGGAAGUUUUCCCUUUUUUGUGGAGGGAGAUGGCAAUCUUUGCCAAUCUGUUCCAGCCAAUGAUCAACAGAGACGUGCUUUUCUCGCAUCUGGCUUUGACGAUGUAAUGGAAUGCAGGGCGUCCAUUUCUCCUUUCUUCGUGCUUAUCACGCCGCCCUGGUCCUUGCGCUGAAACAGCCAUUCUGCCUUGUAUGGCUUGGCUGUCUUUCCAGUGCUGCCCUUAUUCUGAGUAUUUUCUGUUGCACUUUGCUGGAAUCGUAUAUAUGCAGUAAAAUCACCGAACCGAGGAAGAUCUGCUUGCCUGGGGGUCCCACAAGGCAAGCAGCAUCCAGAGGAGCAACUCAUCAUGGAUGCGGUGAUGUCUCAGUCACACUGUGACUGUGCGCCCCGGUUCAAUCAACUCCGCCGCAGACGUAAUUCACUGUGGAUCCCUUUCGUUUCGCUUAUCGUCAGAAUGAAUACACACAGGAACCCCUUUAGCCCCCACCGUUUGUCAUCGGCUGCCACGUUAAACAUUGAUUUUAUUUUCCCAGGUCAGAAAUGAUGAAAUCAAUAUCUAACACGGCCAGUUGUAUUUGCUCGUACCUUUUCAUUCAGAUUCCCUGACAAAUUUUAAACAUUUUACACUGCAUUUAAUUUAAGGAUUAAGUCUGUAAGCUUGUAGAUUUAAAUGUCAGUAAAGGUUAAGAAUUAAUUGUACAUGAAACUGACUACAUUAAAUUUUAAAGCGAGAGUAGUUAUUAUUAAACACACGUGGAGGUAUUGCGUUAUUUUAUUGUUAUGAUCCAUUCAUUAGUUCAUUUGCCCAUUAUUCAUUUGGCAUACAUUAAUGCAGC
This 4410-nucleotide long non-coding RNA is filed under the name Equus caballus (horse). Its description in RNAcentral is "lncRNA (ENSECAG00000036939.2)". The record is from RNAcentral. Lineage: Eukaryota; Metazoa; Chordata; Mammalia; Perissodactyla; Equidae.